AACGAACGCUGGCGGCAUGCCUAACACAUGCAAGUCGAACGAGACCUUCGGGUCUAGUGGCGCACGGGUGCGUAACGCGUGGGAACCUGCCCUUAGGUUCGGAAUAACUCCCCGAAAGGGGUGCUAAUACCGGAUAAGGUCUUCGGACCAAAGAUUUAUCGCCUUUGGAUGGGCCCGCGUUGGAUUAGCUAGUUGGUAGGGUAAAAGCCUACCAAGGCGACGAUCCAUAGCUGGUCUGAGAGGAUGAUCAGCCACACUGGGACUGAGACACGGCCCAGACUCCUACGGGAGGCAGCAGUGGGGAAUAUUGGACAAUGGGCGAAAGCCUGAUCCAGCAAUGCCGCGUGAGUGAUGAAGGCCUUAGGGUUGUAAAGCUCUUUUACCCGGGAUGAUAAUGACAGUACCGGGAGAAUAAGCGCCGGCUAACUCCGUG
RNAcentral lists this ribosomal RNA (433 nucleotides) under uncultured bacterium. Its description in RNAcentral is "partial 16S ribosomal RNA". It matches the Rfam family "Bacterial small subunit ribosomal RNA", at positions 29 to 507 of the family's 1533-position model. The record is from RNAcentral.